UACGUAGGGUGCAAGCGUUGUCCGGAAUUAUUGGGCGUAAAGAGCUCGUAGGCGGUCUGUCGCGUCUGCUGUGAAAACUCAGGGCUUAACCCUGAGCUUGCAGUGGGUACGGGCAGACUAGAGUGCGGUAGGGGAGACUGGAAUUCCUGGUGUAGCGGUGAAAUGCGCAGAUAUCAGGAGGAACACCGGUGGCGAAGGCGGUUCUCUGGGCAUGUUCUGACGCUGAGGAGCGAAAGUGUGGGGAGCGAACAGG
This 253-nucleotide ribosomal RNA is filed under the name uncultured bacterium. RNAcentral's name for it is "partial 16S ribosomal RNA". It matches the Rfam family "Bacterial small subunit ribosomal RNA", at positions 524 to 776 of the family's 1533-position model. The record is from RNAcentral.